Molecule: ribosomal RNA, 496 nt
Filed under: uncultured bacterium
Lineage: Bacteria
Description: partial 16S ribosomal RNA
Rfam family: Bacterial small subunit ribosomal RNA
Source: RNAcentral
AUUGAGCGCUGGCGGAAUGCUUUACACAUGCAAGUCGAACGGUAGAGGGGGCAACCCCUCGAGAGUGGCGAACGGGUGAGUAAUAUAUCGGAACGUGCCCAGUCGUGGGGGAUAACGUAGCGAAAGUUACGCUAAUACCGCAUACGAUCUAAGGAUGAAAGCGGGGGAUCGCAAGACCUCGCGCGAUUGGAGCGGCCGAUAUCAGAUUAGGUAGUUGGUGGGGUAAAGGCUCACCAAGCCAACGAUCUGUAGCUGGUCUGAGAGGACGACCAGCCACACCGGAACUGAGACACGGUCCAGACUCCUACGGGAGGCAGCAGGGGGGAAUUUUGGACAAUGGACGCAAGUCUGAUCCAGCCAUUCCGCGUGCAGGAUGAAGGCCCUCGGGUUGUAAACUGCUUUUGUACGGAACGAAAAGGUCUCUCUUAAUACGGGGGACUCAUGACGGUACCGUAAGAAUAAGCACCGGCUAACUACGUGCCAGCCGCCGCAGUAA